RNAcentral lists this ribosomal RNA (724 nucleotides) under Streptomyces sp. R1O3-2. Its description in RNAcentral is "bacterial SSU rRNA". It matches the Rfam family "Bacterial small subunit ribosomal RNA", at positions 76 to 815 of the family's 1533-position model. The record is from RNAcentral. Lineage: Bacteria; Bacillati; Actinomycetota; Actinomycetes; Kitasatosporales; Streptomycetaceae.
CCCUUCGGGGUGGAUUAGUGGCGAACGGGUGAGUAACACGUGGGCAAUCUGCCCUUCACUCUGGGACAAGCCCUGGAAACGGGGUCUAAUACCGGAUAUGAUCACCGGCCGCAUGGUCUGGUGAUGGAAAGCUCCGGCGGUGAAGGAUGAGCCCGCGGCCUAUCAGCUUGUUGGUGGGGUGAUGGCCUACCAAGGCGACGACGGGUAGCCGGCCUGAGAGGGCGACCGGCCACACUGGGACUGAGACACGGCCCAGACUCCUACGGGAGGCAGCAGUGGGGAAUAUUGCACAAUGGGCGAAAGCCUGAUGCAGCGACGCCGCGUGAGGGAUGACGGCCUUCGGGUUGUAAACCUCUUUCAGCAGGGAAGAAGCGCAAGUGACGGUACCUGCAGAAGAAGCGCCGGCUAACUACGUGCCAGCAGCCGCGGUAAUACGUAGGGCGCAAGCGUUGUCCGGAAUUAUUGGGCGUAAAGAGCUCGUAGGCGGCUUGUCGCGUCGGAUGUGAAAGCCCGGGGCUUAACCCCGGGUCUGCAUUCGAUACGGGCAGGCUAGAGUUCGGUAGGGGAGAUCGGAAUUCCUGGUGUAGCGGUGAAAUGCGCAGAUAUCAGGAGGAACACCGGUGGCGAAGGCGGAUCUCUGGGCCGAUACUGACGCUGAGGAGCGAAAGCGUGGGGAGCGAACAGGAUUAGAUACCCUGGUAGUCCACGCCGUAAACGUUGGGAA